CUGACCGCAACACACAGCAGCAGCGAUGGGGGAGGAGAAGCGGCACCAGUUGAUGCAGAACCUAUUCGGUGAUCAAUCUGAAGAGGAAGAGGAAGAGGUUGAUUCCGAGCAUGAGUCCAAUCCCCAGCCCAAUUCUGUAUGAUUCUCUAAUUUCAAGUUUCCUAUCUAUUCUGAUUCCAAAAGCAUGUUUGGGAAUGAUAAGGGUUUCAAUUUCUGCUUUAAUCUUUUAGCUGAAGGAAGAUAUAGGUUGUUUUUCUGUUAAUGGCGGUGGAUGAUUUGGAUGAAAGUGUGAAUCUUGGCGAUUUUUUUUGCUUGCAGUUGUUUAGGCCUAACUCCGCCUAUGUCUUACAUGGCCGGUCCCAAGCCCGGAUAAAAGAGGAGGGGGAGGGCGUCAGGUAGUCGACAGCCGGCACUCCAUGAUCACGUCGAAUCCUUAUGAAAAUGAAUCCAGAACAAAAUCGCGCUAAAGCUAGGGCGUCACCCGUAAGUGGCGCGCUGUGUGGCCCGAGCACAGUGAUAAGUGAGCAAGGGUCGCUGUAUCUCCAUCGGCACCCGGAUGCAGUGUUAAAUGAGCAAGGGGGCCAUAGAAACUUCUUUUCGAACGACUCCACUCAAAGUUGUUUGGGAGCAUAUGCUCCUAUCAACUUUACCCGGGACACACAAAAGAAGUACUUUGAUCCUAUUAGACGGGGGAGGGUGAAGAAGCUAGGACAGAAGGGUAGAGUUUAAGAGAGCAAAAUGCGUUUAGGAACGUGGAAUAUAGGAACCUUAACGGGAAAAUCUAUGGAAGUAGUGGAAGUUAUGGUGAGGAGAAGGAUAAAUAUUAUGUGCCUACAAGAAAACUAAGUGGGUUGGUAGUAAGGCAAAGGAUCUAGAAAACUCAGGGUUUAAACUUUGGUAUUCGGGCACAAAUAGAACGAGAAACGGUGUUGGCAUCAUCGUGGACAAGACCUUGGUACAAGAUGUUGUAGAUGUCAAGAGGGUCGGAGAUAGAAUCAUGGCAAUCAAGAUUGUAAUAGGACAAGAACUUAUCAAUGUGAUUAGUGCGUACGCACCUCAAGUAGGGUUGGAUACGAGUUCAAAGGAGAAAUUUUGGGAAGAUCUUGGAGACUUGGUGCAAGGAAUUGCUCAGACGGAGAAGUUAUUUAUAGGAGGAGAUUUAAAUGGACACGUGGGCAGGGAGACAGGCAACUAUGGAGGUUUUCAUGGUGGCCAUGGUUUUGGGGAGAGAAACGAGGAUGGGGAAGCUAUCUUGGAUUUUGCAAUGGCAUAUGAUCUCUUCUUAGCCAACACCUUCUUUAAGAAGAGAGAAGAACAUGUGAUCACCUACAAGAGUGGAUCGUCAAAAACACAAAUAGAUUUUCUUCUAAUGAGGAAAGGGGAUCGUAUAACUUGUAAGGAUUGCAAAGUUAUACCAGGAGAGAGCGUGGCUAAUCAACAUCGCUUGUUGGUGAUGGAUGUACAUAUCAAAAGAGUAAGACAAAAGAACAAGACUUGGAAGUGCCCAAGGACUAGAUGGUGGAAUCUAAAAGAAGAAAAACAAGUCAUUUUCAAAGAGAAGGUAAUCACCCAAUGUGUGUGGAAUAGAGAGGGGGAAGCUAGCCAAAUGUGGGAUUCCAUGGCUAGUUGUAUCCGAAAAGUAGCAAAAGAGGUAUUAGGAGAGUCCAAGGGCUUUGCCCCACACCAAAAGGAAUCUUGGUGGUGGAAUGAGGAGGUACAAACAAAGGUGAAGGCUAAGAAGGAAUGCUGUAAAGCCUUAUACAAGGAGAGGACCGAUGAAAAUGGUGAAAGGUAUAGAAAAGCGAAGCAAGAGGCGAAGAAAGCUGUCAGAGAAGCUAAGUUAGCGGCUUACGACGAUAUGUAUAAACGACUAGAUACCAAAGAAUGAGAGUUGGAUAUCUAUAAACUAUCUAGAGCAAGGGAAAAGAAGACAAGGGACCUAAACCAAGUGAGGUGCAUCAAGGAUGAGGAUGGAAAGGUUCUUGCUACAGAGAACGCGGUUAAAGACAGAUGGAGAGGUUAUUUUCAUAAUCUUUUCAAUGAAGGACAUGAAAUGAGUGCUUCUUUAGGGGAGUUGAGUAACUCAGAAGAGUGUAGAAACUACUCUUUUUAUCGUCGAAUCCGGAAGGAAGAAGUGGUUGUAGCUUUGAAGAAGAUGAAGCAUAAAAAAGCAAUAGGCCCAGACGAUAUACCAAUUGAAGUGUGGAAACUUUUGGGAGAGACAGGUAUAACAUGGCUCACUGACCUUUUCAAUAGGAUUUUGAAAACGAAGAAGAUGCCAAAUGAGUGGCGAACGAGCACUUUGGUGCCUAUCUACAAGAAUAAAGGCGACGUACAAAAUUGCAUGAACUAUAGGGGUAUUAAGCUAAUGAGUCAUACAAUGAAGCUCUGGGAGAGAGUCAUUGAGCAUAGAUUGAGGCAAGAGACACGGGUUUCGGACAACCAAUUCGGGUUCAUGCCAGGGCGCUCAACCAUGGAGGCAAUCUAUCUUUUACGAAGAUUGAUGGAAAGAUAUAGAGAUGGGAAAAAAGAUUUACACAUGGUCUUUAUAGAUUUGGAAAAAGCGUAUGAUAGGGUCCCAAGAGACAUUCUUUGGAGGAUUUUAGAGAAGAAAUGAGUACGAGUAGCAUAUAUCCAAGCUAUAAAGGAUAUGUAUGAAGGAGCAAAGACUGCCGUAAGAACUCAUGAAGGACAAACCGAAAGCUUUCCCAUAACUGUAGGAUUACAUCAAGGCUCAUCCUUAAGUCCUUACCUUUUUACGUUGGUAAUGGAUGAGUUAACAGGACAUAUUCAAGAUGAUAUUCCUUGGUGUAUGCUUUUCGCAGACGAUAGAGUGUUGAUAGAUGAAACUCAGGAAGGGGUAAAUGCAAAGCUUAACCUUUGGAGAGAAGUGUUGGAAUCUAAAGGUCUUCGCCUAAGCCGAUCAAAGACAGAAUAUAUGGAGUGCAAGUUCAGUGCAAAUGGAGGCCAAAACGAGUUAGGGGUGAGGAUCGGAGAUCAAGAAAUACCAAAGAGCGACCGUUUUCGUUACCUAGGAUCUAUCUUGCAAAAGAACGGAGAAUUAGAUGGAGAUCUCAACCACCAUAGAAUACAAGCUGGAUGGAUGAAGUGGAAGAGUGCAUCCGGCGUGUUAUGUGACCGCCGUAUGCCACUGAAGCUCAAAGGAAAAUUUUAUAGGACGGCAAUAAGGCCGGCGAUGCUGUAUGGCACAGAAUGUUGGGCGGUGAAACAUCAACACGUACACAAAAUGGGUGUAGCGGAGAUGAGGAUGCUUCGUUGGAUGUGUGGGCACACGAGAAAGGAUAAGAUUAGGAAUGAGGAUAUCCGGGGUUAAAGUAGGAGUAGCCGAAAUUGAAGGAAAGAUGAGAGAAAUCGGUUACGGUGGUUUGGGACAUGUGUGGACAUGUGCAAGAAGGCCUACUGACGCUUCGAUUAGAAGAUGCGACUAUGGGACAGAGGUUCAGGGCCGAAGGGGUAGAGGAAGACCUAGGAAAACUUUGGAAGAGACUCUAAGAAAAGACUUAGAGUACUUGGAUCUAACGAAGGACAUGACACAGGAUCGAGCGCAAUGGCGUUCUAAGAUUCAUAUAGCCGAUCCCACUCAGUGACUUGGAUUUUCCAAGUCUCCAACCAAGAAGUUUUCCUCACUUGAAAAAUUAAGGGAACACUACCCCAACCUACAUGCUCCACUCAGAAAGCUUCAACAUACAAGCUUCAACAAAAGAAAAUUCAAAGAACUUAGCGAAGAAGGCUUUGGUGUAUUUAACACAAUACGUUGAAAUGAAGGAAAGCUUAUUUAUUGAUAUCCCCGAUAAGCUACAAAUAUGUCCAUAUACAUGAAUCAAAAUAAACACACAAGAGGGAGCCUUCACAAAGGUUGCUUAGGAGAAGUCUGAGCAGUCGGUAGAGCUCCAGAAAGAGAAGGCACCGGAGGGGGAUCAUUUGGAGCCUCAGUACUGGACAGAACCUUAGAAGGAGGAGGCAUCAGAGGUUGAUCAUUUGGAGCUUCAUUACGCACUACAGCCCCAGAAGACGAAGGCAAUAAAUGCCUUUGGAACAAACCCACAAAUCUCUGAUGAUCAAGUAAAACCUGACCAUCAGUUUCCUUCAUCUGGUCAAGCUUCCUCUUCAUGUUUGUAGCAUAGUCAUGUGCGAGCCGGUGCAACUGUUUAUUCUCAUGCUUGAGCCCCCUAAUCUCCUGUUUGAGACUCAUCACUUCAGCCGCCAAUGAUUCAACUUGGCGGGUUCGAGCAAAUAGGCGUUGGGCCAUAUUAGACACAGAACCUGCACACUGAACACUAAGAGCCAGCGAAUCCUUAACAGCUAACUCAUCAGACCGUUUGGAAAGUAGUCUGUUAUCUUUGGGAGUGAGAAGGUUCCUGGCCACCACCGCAGCGGUCAUAUCAUUCUUCAUCACGGAAUCCCCAACGGUAAGAGGACCAGUAGGGGAGACGAAGGAUGGGCGCCAUAUGUUGUCUGGAGAAGGCGGGGCUGCCUCUUCAACAAGGUUCAAGUCAAAACGACGGUCAGAGGGGCCAGACAUUUUCAAAGGUGUUGAAGAGAGAAGAGGUCGGACAAAUCAAGAUCUUAGAAGUGCAAGAAUGAAGCUUCUACUGGUGGAGAUUCAAGUGUGCUUUGGAACUUAAUGCUUGAUUUAGCCCCUAUAAAAAUCUGCACUCGACGGAGCUUCAGAUAUCGAAGAGGCGCCUGCUCAGAAAUCGAAGAGGCGCUUUUCUUUGAUUCGAAAGCUCAGGCUGGCUUUGAGAAUCAAAGAGAAUCUCAGAAAUCGAACAGGCGUUUGCUUUCUCAAAAGUUGGGGCUGCUCAAAGACCACGAAAGCCGAUCUCAGAAAUCGAAGAGGCGUUGCUUUCUCAACUUCAAAGACUCACGGGGCCGAUCUCAGAAAUCGAAGAGGCGCUCGCUUUCUCAAAAGCUGGGCUCCCAGAGACCACGAGGGCCGAUCUCAGUAAUCGAAAAGGCACCUACUUUUCCAACCUUGUCAGCACCUGUCACACGCACACUCAGCUUUGCGGAAAUUAUGGGCAUUCUGUCGAAGACUUCUGGGGAAGGUAGAAAACACAUGAAUCUUACUGUUCAAUCACCCACUUCCCACACGCAACAAUAGCUCAUGGGUACCGCAGAUAACUUUGCCAAAGUUCUCUGCCAAAGUUGAGCACGUGAAGCUUGCAGCUCCCACUACAUCGCUCUGACCAAGAAGGGUAAAAGAAUAGCAAAGAAACAGCACUAACAAAGUUUAGACCCAUAAAUUUUGAAGGUCUAGCUACCAUAUUAUUACCCACAAGGGUAAAGGAACAGUACCACUGCUGGAUAAUUGGAAAGUCCCUGUGUGUCAACCUCUGUGCUUCGCGGCAAGAUAGACUAGCAAACAUGCCCAACCUUUACUCACAUUCGAGAAAACACUCCCAAUAAGAUUGCUUGCUCCAAAAUCGAAGAGGCACCGUCCUCCGAAUCUCGAGAACUAAACUCCCAACAUGACUACUUUCUUAAAAAUCGAAGAGAGGGUAAAGGAACAGUACCAUUGCUGGAUAAUUGGAAAGUCCCUGUGUGUCAACCUCUGUGCUUCGUGGCAAGGUGGACUAGCAAACAUGCCCAACCUUUACUCACAUUCGAGCAAACACUCCCAACAAGAUUGCUUGCUCCAAAAUCGAAGAGGCACCGCCCUCCGAAUCUCGAGAGCCAGACUCCCAACAUGAUUACUUUCUCAAAAAUCGAAGAGACAUUGCUCCCCGAAUCUUCGAGAGCCAGACCCCCAGCAUGAUUGCUUUCUCAAAAUCGAUGAGGCAUCGUUCUCCGAAUCAAUCGAAGAGGCGCUCGCUUUCUCAAAAGCUGGGCUGCUCAUAGACCACGAGGGCCGAUCUCAGAAAUCGAAGAGGCACCUACUUUUCUAGCCUUGUCAGCAUCUGUCACACGCACACUCAGCUUUGCAGAAAUUAUGGGCAUUCUGUCGAAGACUUCUGGUGAAGUAGAAAGCACAUGAAUCUUACUGUUAAAUCACCCACUUCCCACACGCAGUAAUAGCUCAUGGGUACCACAGAUAACUUUGCUAAAGUUCUCUGCCAAAGUUGAGCACGUGAAGCUUGCAGCUCCCACUACAUCGCUCUGACCAAGAAAGGUAAAAGAAUAGCAAAGAAACAGCACUAACAAAGUUUAGACACAUAAAUUUUGAAGGUCUAGCUACCAUAUUAUUACCCACAAGUGUAAAGGAACAGUACCACUGCUGGAUAAUUGGAAAGUCCCUGUGUGUCAACCUCUGUGCUUCGUGGCAAGGUAGACUAGCAAACAUGCCCAACCUUUACUCACAUUCGAGAAAACACUCCCAACAAGAUUGCUUGCUCCAAAAUCGUAGAGGCACCGUCCUCCGAAUCUUGAGAGCCAGACUCCCAACAUGACUACUUUCUCAAAAUCGAAGAGAGGGUAAAAUAACAGUACCAUUGCUGGAUAAUUGGAAAGUCCCUGUGUGUCAACCUUUGUGCUUCGUGGCAAGGUAGACUAGCAAACAUGCCCAACCUUUACUCACAUUCGAGAAAACACUCCCAACAAGAUUGCUUGCUCCAAAAUCGAAGAGGCACCGCCCUCCGAAUCUCGAGAGCCAGACUCCCAACAUGAUUACUUCCUCAAAAAUCGAAGAGACACUGCUCUCCGAAUCUCGAGAGCCAGACCCCCAGCAUGAUUGCUUUCUCAAAAAUCGAAGAGGGCAUCGUUCUCCGAAUCUCGAGAGCCAGAUACCACAGACCAUUUUUUCAAAAGUGCUCUGACAGAGUUAAAACAUGUGAAACUGGCAGCUCCCACUACCGUGCUAUGACCAAACAGGGUAAAUGAAUAGCAUUACUACUUGUUGUUAGGAAGACUCCUAUAUAUGUCGACCCCCAUCCCCAACGGACAGGCAGACCUGCAAAAAUGCUCAACCCUUCAUCAUAUCUGAGAGGACACUCCCAACGAAGCCUUUCGAAAUAUUCAGCUUUCUUUCCCCCCGAUAAUACCUCUACAAACAAGCUAUACUAGAGCAAGAAUAUCUCAUAUCAUCAGGGUUAAAAGCAAGAGUAUCCCAUAUCAUGCUUUUUCCCUAUCUUUUCCUUUGGCCUUGUUUUUACCUGCAAGACAAGGAGAAAGAGAGCAAUCAGUCAGCACUUGGAAUCAAGCUUCCAGCCAGGAACUGACUGCCUGGAACCCCUUACCUGAUUACUUACCUGGCAUUGCUCUCGAGUACUCAUCUUCAACAUCUUAUGUUUCCAGGGAAGAUUCCGCAUCUGCUUGAGGAACAGAUAGGGCAAGUGCGAAGGAUAUAAGGAAGCAUGUGGAGACAAGCGUAACAGCACACGUGCCGAUACAUCCAUUACUCUGUCAAAAGCAAAAGUAUCCCAUAUCAGCAGGGUGGAACGUACUCUAGAUUUGAUGGACUUGUUUUGACCCUCAAAUUCUUCAGUCGGCCUUAUACUCUGGAGGAAACCAGAAAACCCUCCAGCUCAGUUCAAGAAUAAGCCUGUGGAAAGUUACUUCUUCAAAAGCAAAAGUAUCUCAUAUCAUCUCUUCUCAUUUUUCUUCUCUUUAUCCUUCAUGCUGCUGCAAGAUGGGGAGAAGGUGAACAAUCAAUCGGAGCUCUGAUUGCUUACCUUGUCUGUCACCUCUUUCAGCAGACUCCUUAGCUCGGCGACUUGGGGGACUCCUACUACAUGGUUUGUAUCGCGCUUGACCAAGCCUGAAACUACAAGUAAGCUUCAAGUGAAAUUGAUACAUUACCUUGUGCAUCUCCACCAGUUAAAGAUACCACCCCUGGAUGGAGGAAGAGUACUUCCAGAGAAGAUGCCACAUCUACCUAUGAGACAGAUAAGGCAAGUCAAGACAACACCAUACUCCGAUACUUAGAAGUUUCGUGAUUACGAGAUCAUUCUCACACAAUAUUUCCUAAUGUCAUUUGUACUAAAUCAUUCACUUGUACUCACUAAAGGAGAGCUUGAACCUAUGUACUUGUGUAAACCCUUCACAAUUAAUGAGAACUCUUCUAUUCCGUGGACGUAGCCAAUCUGGGUGAACCACGUACAUCUUGUGUUUGCUUUCCUAUCUCUAUCCAUUUAUAUAUUUAUCCACACUAAUGACCGGAGCAAUCUAGCGAAGAUCACAAAAAGCGACCGUUUUCGCUACCUAGGAUCUAUCUUGCAAGAGAACGGAGAAUUAGAUGGAGAUCUCAACCAUAGAAUACGAGCUGGAUGGAUUAAGUGUAAGAGUGCAUCCAGCGUGUUGUGUGACCGUCGUAGGCCACUGAAGCUCAAGGGAAAAUUUUAUAGGAUGGCAAUAAGGCCAGCGAUGUUGUAUGGCACAGAAUGUUGGGCGGUGAAGCAUCAACACGUACACAAAAUGGGUGUAGCGGAGAUGAGGAUGCUUCGUGGGAUGUGUGGGCACACGAGAAAGGAUAAGAUUGGGAAUGAGGAUAUCCGAGGUAAAGUAGGAGUAGCCGAAAUUGUAGGAAAGAUGAGAGAAAAUCGGCUCCGGUGAUUUGGACAUGUGCAAAGAAGGCCGACUGACGCUCCGGUUCGAAGAUGUGACUACGGGACAGAGGUUCAGGGCCAAAGGGGUAGAGGAAGACCUAGGAAAAUUUUGGAAGAGACUCUAAGAAAAGACUUAGAGUACUUAGAUCUAACGGAGGACAUGACACAAAACCGAGCGCAAUGGCGUUCUAGGAUUCAUAUAGCCGACCCCACUUAGUGGGAAAAGGCUUUGUUGUUGUUGUUGUUGUUGUUGCAGUUGUUUAGGCCUGGACUGAAGAAGUUUUGUAGAAUGAGAUUCUUAUGAGUAGUCAAUUUUAGUGGGAUUGUUGUUUCA
RNAcentral lists this long non-coding RNA (8838 nucleotides) under Malus domestica (apple). Its description in RNAcentral is "long non-coding RNA (MDOM_LNC006436)". The record is from RNAcentral. Lineage: Eukaryota; Viridiplantae; Streptophyta; Magnoliopsida; Rosales; Rosaceae.